AUCCUUGGAAAAAAACACAGAUUUUUUUUGGGAAAAAUCCUCAAAUUUUGGGAAUUUCCAGCAGGAGGAAGAGGAGGCUGAGAAGAAGAAGAAAAAUCGCAAAAAUGAGAAACCCAAAGGGAAAAAACAGGGAAAAUCCCUCAGUGAGGAUGAGGCCGAAGGCUCCGAGGAGAUCAAGGG
This is a long non-coding RNA of Malurus melanocephalus (red-backed fairy wren), 180 nucleotides long. RefSeq lists it as uncharacterized. Lineage: Eukaryota; Metazoa; Chordata; Aves; Passeriformes; Maluridae. The record is from RefSeq and is a predicted model, not a curated record. The transcript has 2 exons.